AUGUUGUUUCCUUUGACUUCCCCAAUUCCAAAUGUCCGAAACUGGAGUAUCGAGGGAGUAAUUUCUUAUGCAAAAAUUGAAGAAAAAAAGCCAAUGGAGCAAAAGCACGUUGAAAGAAGAAUGGCUUUCUUAAAGUUACAGGCUAAUACGGCAUUCAAGCAGGAGUAUAAGUUGGCAUCAAAGUUGUAUGGUUUGGCAAUAGAUCAUGCAGAGAGUGCAACACUGUAUGCAAACAGGAGUCUUUGUAAACUGCUCAUGGGUGAUGGUGAAGGUGCUUUGUCAGAUGCUCUCAGGUGCAGAAUGCUGCGGCCUGAUUGUGCAAAAGCUUGCUACCGUCAAGCUACAGCUCACAUGCUACUCAAGGAGUAUAAACAAGCCUGUCAUGCUCUCUUGGAUGCACAAAAGCUGGAUCCUGGGAAUGCUGAAAUUGAGCGUGAACUGCGGAAGGCUAGGGAACUCAUGAAGAAUCAUCCUGCUGAAGGCGAGCAGUGA
RNAcentral lists this ribosomal RNA (492 nucleotides) under Triticum aestivum (bread wheat). Its description in RNAcentral is "partial small subunit ribosomal RNA". Lineage: Eukaryota; Viridiplantae; Streptophyta; Magnoliopsida; Poales; Poaceae. The record is from RNAcentral.